CGCGGCCUAUCAGCUUGUUGGUGGGGUAAUGGCCUACCAAGGCGACGACGGGUAGCCGGCCUGAGAGGGCGACCGGCCACACUGGGGCUGAGACACGGCCCAGACUCCUACGGGAGGCAGCAGUGGGGAAUAUUGCACAAUGGGCGAAAGCCUGAUGCAGCGACGCCGCGUGAGGGAUGACGGCCUUCGGGUUGUAAACCUCUUUCAGCAGGGACGAAGCGUAAGUGACGGUACCUGCAGAAGAAGCGCCGGCCAACUACGUGCCAGCAGCCGCGGUAAGACGUAGGGCGCGAGCGUUGUCCGGAUUUAUUGGGCGUAAAGAGCUCGUAGGCGGCUUGUCGCGUCGACUGUGAAAACCCGCAGCUCAACUGCAGGCCUGCAGUCGAUACGGGCAGGCUAGAGUUCGGUAGGGGAGACUGGAAUUCCUGGUGUAGCGGUGGAAUGCGCAGAUAUCAGGAGGAACACCGGUGGCGAAGGCGGGUCUCUGGGCCGAUACUGACGCUGAGGAGCGAAAGCGUGGGGAGCGAACAGGAUUAGAUACCCUGGUAGUCCACGCUGUAAACGUUGGGCGCUAGGUGUGGGGGACCUCUCCGGUUCUCUGUGCCGCAGCUAACGCAUUAAGCGCCCCGCCUGGGGAGUACGG
This 643-nucleotide ribosomal RNA is filed under the name uncultured bacterium. Its description in RNAcentral is "bacterial SSU rRNA". It matches the Rfam family "Bacterial small subunit ribosomal RNA", at positions 232 to 885 of the family's 1533-position model. The record is from RNAcentral.